GACAGACAGACAGACAGGCAGACAGACAGGCGGGACAGCAGGGUUGUCUCACAGUCUCUCUCCUCCACAGGACCUGUCUCCAGCCGUCCUUCCUCUGCUCUGGUUGGAGGAAUCCAGGGACCAUGCUCGUGUAAACAGAAACCUGAUCCAGUGCGCAGGGCUUGGGUUUCGGCCCUCCGUACAGCCGCUGAUGAUACCCGAUCCAGCACGGCUUUGGGAACAGAGCUUAUCUGAUGCCUCACAAAAGGCCCCUCACAUCUGGUGCCUCUGCAGGGAGCGCUGUCCCUUUGGGUUCCUCUGGGGGGUGAAGGUAAGGAUAAGAGCGUCUCACUAGUCCCUCGGAAAUACACUUACACAAACUGUAGAGGAAGAGAGACGGUGUAAAGUUACAAUCCUCAACAUCUGGACCGAAUCAUCAAAAUUGGCCACUUUGUGUAGAUUUACUUGUAUUAUGGUCGGUGGAAAUAUGAGCACAGUGAAAAUACUCUGUCAAUUAGGAAGAUGAUUGAAAAGGUUGAACUCCAGUCCUACAGAGAGAUCUACAGUAAAAUCACCUCAGGUUCAGACUGGUGGAGUUUCAACACUAGAGGGCAGUAUCUACACAUCAGCCGGAGAUGAGUGUCUGAGAACACGAAGUUUUUCUUGUAUCAUAUUACAGGCAGAUACUAGGCGGGUGCAUUUAUGGGAAAAAAACACCAAAUACAAAUGUUUCUCAUCUGUUUUUUAUAGUAUUAGACGUCCUUAAUAACAAACUAAAGUUUACCAAAGUUUGACCACUGGAAAGGUGUCAUUUUCAAGAUGGCGUCCAUGAUGGUAGGAGGCCCGGGGAGACCCCCCAGGUAAAAUUUUUAACUAACAGAUAUCAGCAUGAAACUUCCCAAGUUUAUAAUUGACAUUAAGACAAAUAUUUUUUAUAUUACAAGUUUAGUCAAAUGUUUUGUUUGAAUAUGUAAAUGAGGUAAUAUCUAAUUAACUAUGCACUAAUUUACAGACAUUUACAGAAAACUGAACAAUAGAUUAAGACCCUUUCAAAAUCACCACCCCUAAAAAUUCAAAUAUCUCCAUGUGACUCUGACUGUGGGUCACUAGUCGUACUUGUAGUCACUUAUCUAUCAUACAAAUAUGCUAAUUAUAAUAUCAGAUGGUCCAAACAUGUAUCAGGCGCCAGUAUUCCUGGUCUAGAAUGAAUAUAAAGAAGUAAUGAUCAUUUUAAGGACCUGAGAAAAAAACAAAAAAAAAAAACAUGGAGAUAUUUGAGUUUUUAGGGGUGUUGAGAGUAUUUUCUCAUUUACAGAGUUAUAAAAAGAGAUAUCCAAAGUCCCCAUCAAUUUAGGGUUUUUACUCCAAAUUAAAAAAAACUGAAAGCAAACUGGAGACUCACGGUGCCAAAAUAAAACCACAUCAUCAGACAAUAAUAAAUCUUUAUAACAUGACAAACCUGUAGAAGCCUUUAGAAUAUGUGCUAACACCAAUAAACCCUGUGGUUACAGACAGUUACUCACCCCGGAGAACUCCAUAAACACAGAAAUGAAAGAAAAACAUAAAAAUAAAAACUCUGCUAGCUUGUGAUGCUUCACGGUGACUUCCUGUUUACACGGAUAACUGCUCAUGAUUGGACAGUGCUAUAGAUGUUUCCUAGUAACCGAUUUGCUCACUCCGAACGCGAUUGGCUGGUUUAUUUAUGCUUACUAAUACAUAAAAUAGAAUAAAAAUAAAUGAUUAGAUUCAAAACUACGAUGGAGUAUCAGGGCCUGAUACUCCUCCGUACAAAACAGUUCAAUAAAUCAUAAGUUAUUUAUGUUCGGCUGUUCAAACUGGAGAGGACAUAAAGUUCAGUUUUUUUAUAUAUAUAUUAUUUUUAAACAGCUGGGGUAACCCACACUGAACACUGGGGGUCGCUGUUGCCGUACUAAAACUCACAGAGACACUGAUCAACAGGUUAAAUGAACUUUUCUCUCAUUUAAUCGGAUUUGUCUGAUCGAAAAUCUCCUUUUAUUGCCAACUUUAAAGUCUCAGAGUGUAAUCACGAAAGAGGACGUUUCUCAGCCUCACUUUGAUCAUCUUUUAUCAGCAGCUUUUCCAAACUGUGACCAUGGCAACGCGACGGUUCGAGCCAUAGACUGUAUGUAGAACGGUGAAGUAUAGACAGUCUACGGUUUGAGCGGUGUACAGGUGUGCCAGAGCCCACCUGGUUCAAGUCUUUGACUGACCAAAGAGGUUUAAGGAGGGAGAGAGUGAAGGUGGAGCUGAUGAUGAAGAUGAAGAUGAUGAUGAAGAGUGGAGGAGAGUUAAUUACCAUCAUCAAUAAUAAACUCAUAUAUAUGUAUCUGAAGGUGUGUCAGGUGAUGAUGGUCCUGCGGUCCAUCUGCACAUAACGCUCAUUUCCUCCACGUCCGGGACCGGGACCCAAUCAGGACCCUGCCUGUGACGUCACAGACCCGCAGCCCGUAUAAAGCGGUGCGCGUGCUGCAGCGACCACAUUAGAGAGGAUCCGAGUCUGAGAGCAAACCCUCACCUGAUUGGGCCAAAAGAAUUAACCAAUAAAAGAAGAGAAGAUGUCUAAACUGAGCAUCGUUCAGAUCGGAGUGCUUUUGUUUGCCAUCUGUUUAACACGAGAGGUAAGGAGACUCUUUUUAUUUAUACAGCAGAUAAUAAUGUUCUUAAUUUAGUGAUUAUUGAUUUUAUUUCUUUCAUAGAUCAGCGUUAGUUUGAUCACUGAUAAAAGGAUCUUUUUUAAUGAUGGGUUAAUUGAUUAUACAGACAUCUCCAGACUGAUAAUGGGGUUGACUGUAUGGACUGUUUCAGGUUCGACUUGAGUCUCUCUGGGGAAAUUAACAUGAUCAGGGUUAGAUUUCAGGGUGGGUGUAAUUAAAGGUCUUUGUCUGUCAUAAAAGUGUUUUUCACAUGUAUUUCUGCCUCUUCUCUGGCUCACACUCCAGUGAAUUAAUGAUUCAGGUGCACUGUAUUGUGUACCUGUGCAAAGGUGGGGAGAGAAGCUAAAGUUACGUUUUAGUGCGGAGAGCCAAACGAAACUUGACACGCAGGCGCAGAAGCUAUUUUCUCUUAUCUGCAGCCAUCCUAACGCUAUCAGAAACACUCGUGCUUGUUUUUAUGUCCUUUUGGGGACAUGUCUGACUGCAGAUCCAGUUGUUUUAAAGCAGGUUUAAUUCAUGCUCUCAGUUUGCUUCAUUUUGUUGGAAAACCUCAAAUCCCACAAAGUCAAACUUUGUUGAUUAAUUUACAUUUUAUUUAAAUCAUCGGGUUUUUGUCGCCACAGUUUUCCCUCGUUUGCCCUUUAAAGAACAGGCUUUUGAACGGGGUAACUUUGCAGUUUUCAACCCUUCUCAUCCUCCUCUCCCCCACCUCUCAAACAGGCGGUCUCCAAUAACAGCACAGACCCCACAGCGGGAGGAAACUCCACCUCCAACCCCAACGCCACCACCAUGGCAACAGGAACCCUCAGCAGUUCAACCAACACCACUUCCCCUACCGGAGCGGGCGUCUCGCUGCACGCAGCCAGCACCUUCCCCUUCCUGAUCCCUCUCAUCAUGGCCGCCUCUCUUCUGCAGCACUUCUGUUGAAGCCUGGACCCCAGAGCUCCCCUCCUCCUCCUCCUCCUCCUCCUCCUCCUCACCUCCCAGCCAGUCAUCCCACCCGGUCUUGCCUCCUCGUUCCUCCACCCUUCACUGCACAGAGACCACAAGACUAACAAGGAUGGACUUCACAACCCUCUUUGUCCUCCUUAAGUCACGAUAAAAAGAUGCAAUUUAAGACAUUUCUCUCAUUAAAGGGGGUCCAGUCCUCAGCUGGAGAUCAUCACUGAGCCCCCUCAGCCCCCCAUGCAUGGGAUCAAAAGGAGCGUUGGUGCACCCAGCUUCCCUUUGGCCUGCGUUUCCAUAGUCACGCCACCACAUGUUGGAGAUGCUCAGGGCUGCGGUUGUCAUGUCACGUGUCUUGAUUGAAAUGCGGACCACUUGAGUGUACUGAGGUUCUUUUUGUGGCUUCAAAUCCAACUUAACAUUCAAUAUGAAAAGCCUGCGGUUCUGUUCUGUUCUGUUCUGUUCACACACACACACUCCAAACACACCAAGCCAGAUGAAACUUUAGUUGGUUUUUCAUAAUUCGGCUCUUGGGUCUUUUUAUUAGAAAUGUCAAAGAGAUGAUGUAUGUAGCAGAGAGAAGUUGCCGCAGGACUCAGUGUCAGUUUUUGCCUUGUGAUUUCUAAAGAGUUCUGGUCUUUUACAAUGAGGGUUUGAUUGACACCUUUCCCCCCUUCAUCCAUGGGUUAGACCCAGGAAAUGACUGUUUGUGUAACCAUAUGGGAAGGGUUGAUGUUAGAUUUAUAUCCCCCCCUUAUAGUUUAUAUUUUGUAUAAAUGGAAAUGUACUGUUUAUUAGUUUGGAUAUAAGAUAAUGGAAGAAAUGUACAAUAAAUUAUGAAAAACAAACUCUGUAACGGCUCCUCUGGUUUCUG
This is a non-coding RNA of Xyrichtys novacula (pearly razorfish), 4473 nucleotides long. The record is from the annotation of a GenBank genome assembly. NCBI's taxonomy places the organism in Eukaryota, Metazoa, Chordata, Actinopteri, Labriformes, Labridae.